This 468-nucleotide ribosomal RNA is filed under the name uncultured bacterium. RNAcentral describes it as "partial 16S ribosomal RNA". It matches the Rfam family "Bacterial small subunit ribosomal RNA", at positions 28 to 507 of the family's 1533-position model. The record is from RNAcentral.
GACGAACGCUGGCGGCGUGCUUAACACAUGCAAGUCGAACGGAAAGGCCCUGCUUUUGUGGGGUGCUCGAGUGGCGAACGGUUGAGUAACACGUGAGUAACCUGCCCUUGACUUUGGGAUAACUUCAGGAAACUGGGGCUAAUACCGGAUAGGAGCUCCUGCUGCAUGGUGGGGGUUGGAAAGUUUCGGCGGUUGGGGAUGGACUCGCGGCUUAUCAGCUUGUUGGUGGGGUAGUGGAUUACCAAGGCUUUGACGGGUAGCCGGCCUGAGAGGGUGACCGGCCACAUUGGGACUGAGAUACGGCCCAGACUCCUACGGGAGGCAGCAGUGGGGAAUAUUGCAAAAUGGGCGGAAGCCUGAUGCAGCAACGCCGCGUGCGGGAUGACGGCCUUCGGGUUGUAAACCGCUUUCGCCUGUGACGAAGCGUGAGUGACGGUAAUGGGUAAAGAAGCACCGGCUAACUACGUG